Molecule: unclassified non-coding RNA, 236 nt
Filed under: Glomerales sp.
Lineage: Eukaryota; Fungi; Glomeromycota; Glomeromycetes; Glomerales; Glomeraceae
Description: partial contains 5.8S ribosomal RNA and internal transcribed spacer 2
Rfam family: 5.8S ribosomal RNA (bases 1-71)
Source: RNAcentral
GUGAAUCAUCAAAUUUUUGAACGCAAAUUGCGCUUCCUGGUAUCCCGGGAAGUAUGCCUGUUUGAGGGUCAGUAUUAACAAAAAAUCGGUUUGGUUGCAAAUUGUGACGUUUCCGGAGUUUGGGCUUAUCUUAACUUUUUGGUUUAAGGGGUUUAAAAUGAACCUUUUUGGCGCUUUUUUAGAGUUACAUAAAUUUUUUUUUUUGUGUCUAUUCAUUAUUCCAAAAUUUUUUGAUA